UGCGUAGGUGGCGUGUUAAGUCAGUGGUGAAAGCCUGCAGCUCAACUGUAGAGGUGCCAUUGAUACUGACAUGCUUGAGUAUGGACGAGGUAAGCGGAAUUUGUGGUGUAGCGGUGAAAUGCAUAGAUACCACAAGGAACACCGAUAGCGAAGGCAGCUUACUGUACCAUAACUGACACUGAGGCACGAAAGCGUGGGGAGCGAACAGGAUUAGAUACCCUGGUAGUCC
This 229-nucleotide ribosomal RNA is filed under the name uncultured bacterium. Its description in RNAcentral is "partial 16S ribosomal RNA". It matches the Rfam family "Bacterial small subunit ribosomal RNA", at positions 568 to 796 of the family's 1533-position model. The record is from RNAcentral.